CGCGUAGGCGGACAUUUAAGUCAGGGGUGAAAUCCCAGAGCUCAACUCUGGAACUGCCUUUGAUACUGGGUGUCUUGGGUGUGAGAGAGGUAUGUGGAACUCCGAGUGUAGAGGUGAAAUUCGUAGAUAUUCGGAAGAACACCAGUGGCGAAGGCGACAUACUGGCUCAUUACUGACGCUGAGGCGCGAAAGCGUGGGGAGCAAACAG
Molecule: ribosomal RNA, 208 nt
Filed under: uncultured Brevundimonas sp.
Lineage: Bacteria; Pseudomonadati; Pseudomonadota; Alphaproteobacteria; Caulobacterales; Caulobacteraceae
Description: partial 16S ribosomal RNA
Rfam family: Bacterial small subunit ribosomal RNA
Source: RNAcentral